Molecule: small nuclear RNA, 116 nt
Filed under: Albugo candida
Lineage: Eukaryota; Oomycota; Peronosporomycetes; Albuginales; Albuginaceae
Description: U5 spliceosomal RNA
Rfam family: U5 spliceosomal RNA
About the family: U5 RNA is a component of both types of known spliceosome. The precise function of this molecule is unknown, though it is known that the 5' loop is required for splice site selection and p220 binding, and that both the 3' stem-loop and the Sm site are important for Sm protein binding and cap methylation.
Source: Rfam by way of RNAcentral
CUCCGUCGGGUUAAAUUCAACACGAAUUAAUCUUUCGCCUUUUACUAAAGAUUACCGUGGACUUGACCCCUAUCAUGGCGGCUUGAUCCAAUUUCUUGAUCCUCCCUUUGGGAGGG